Molecule: small RNA, 445 nt
Filed under: Cryptococcus neoformans H99
Lineage: Eukaryota; Fungi; Basidiomycota; Tremellomycetes; Tremellales; Cryptococcaceae
Description: Cryptococcus neoformans var. grubii H99 hypothetical RNA
Source: RNAcentral
UUUCGGUACAAAUAGGAUAUCAUGGUCAUAUAUAGUUGUUCUAGUUCUUCGUGACGACCCAGCCAGCUGUAGUAAAGUAGCUGUACCGCACUUGUGUUAUAAUUUGCGCAAUCCAACCAGCGGUCCUUGGCAUGGAAUAGGAAAGCCUUGAUGAGGACGUGAGCAAUAGUUUAACAACACAUACAUAAUAGUGGUUCACAGAUAAUCUAAUAUCUAAGUAACAAGGCAAAGCAGAUUGAACUUCUCCGGCGCUUCAACAGCUGAAAAAUAUUUAGACGAGGCUUUGAAACUAUCAAACAAGUCGUAUCAGAGAACCUGGAAACAGCAGAGCUAACCCCUUGUUAGGGGAUUGCUAUUCAGAUGGCACUUCCUAUAUAUUACUCAGGAUAUGAUCUUCAUAGGUGGAUGGCGGAAAAUGUUGAGAUGACAUGAUGCAGGCAUUGAA